GCUUAACACAUGCAAGUCGAACGAUGAAGCUGAAGCUUUUGUUUUGGUGGAUAGUGGCGAACGGGUGAGUAAUACGUGAGUAACCUGCCCUUGUCUUUGGGAUAAGCCUGGGAAACUGGGUCUAAUACCGGAUAUUCUGCUUCUGCCGCAUGGUGGGGGUUGGAAAGAUUUUUGGAUGGGGAUGGGCUCACGGCCUAUCAGCUUGUUGGUGGGGUGAUGGCCUACCAAGGCGUCGACGGGUAGCCGGCCUGAGAGGGUGACCGGCCACAUUGGGACUGAGAUACGGCCCAGACUCCUACGGGAGGCAGCAGUGGGGAAUAUUGCACAAUGGACGCAAGUCUGAUGCAGCGACGCCGCGUGGGGGAUGAAGGC
This 372-nucleotide ribosomal RNA is filed under the name Arcanobacterium sp. HJ52-Da. RNAcentral's name for it is "bacterial SSU rRNA". It matches the Rfam family "Bacterial small subunit ribosomal RNA", at positions 46 to 415 of the family's 1533-position model. The record is from RNAcentral. Lineage: Bacteria; Bacillati; Actinomycetota; Actinomycetes; Actinomycetales; Actinomycetaceae.